Molecule: ribosomal RNA, 441 nt
Filed under: uncultured bacterium
Lineage: Bacteria
Description: partial 16S ribosomal RNA
Rfam family: Bacterial small subunit ribosomal RNA
Source: RNAcentral
CCUACGGGGAGGCAGCAGUGGGGAAUAUUGGACAAUGGGGGAAACCCUGAUCCAGCGACGCCGCGUGAGUGAAGAAGUACUUCGGUAUGUAAAGCUCUAUCAGCAGGAAAGAAAAUGACGGUACCUGACUAAGAAGCCCCUGCUAACUACGUGCCAGCAGCCGCGGUAAUACGUAGGGGGCAAGCGAUAUCCGGGUUUACUGGGUGUAAAGGGAGCGUUGACGGUAGGGCAAGUCUGGGGUGAAAUGUCGGGGCACAACCCCGAAACUGCUGUUGAAACUGGGAAGCUUGAGUGCAGGAGAGGUAAGCGGAAUUCGUGGUGUAGCGGUGAAAUGCGUAGAUAUCAGGAAGAACACCGACGGCGAAGGCAGCUUACUGGACUGUAACUGACGUUGAGGCUCGAAGGCGUGGGGAGCAAACAGGAUUAGAUACCCCUGUAGUC